Molecule: transfer RNA, 104 nt
Filed under: Naumovozyma castellii
Lineage: Eukaryota; Fungi; Ascomycota; Saccharomycetes; Saccharomycetales; Saccharomycetaceae
Description: tRNA-Trp
Rfam family: tRNA
About the family: Transfer RNA (tRNA) molecules are approximately 80 nucleotides in length. Their secondary structure includes four short double-helical elements and three loops (D, anti-codon, and T loops). Further hydrogen bonds mediate the characteristic L-shaped molecular structure. tRNAs have two regions of fundamental functional importance: the anti-codon, which is responsible for specific mRNA codon recognition, and the 3' end, to which the tRNAs corresponding amino acid is attached (by aminoacyl-tRNA synthetases). tRNAs cope with the degeneracy of the genetic code in two manners: having more than one tRNA (with a specific anti-codon) for a particular amino acid; and 'wobble' base-pairing, i.e. permitting non-standard base-pairing at the 3rd anti-codon position.
Source: RNAcentral
GAAGCGGUGGCUCAAUGGUAGAGCUUUCGACUCCAGUUAAACUCUGGAUUUAUUCGGAAACAAUUGCAAUCGAAGGGUUGCAGGUUCAAUUCCUGUCCGUCUCA